This 1943-nucleotide ribosomal RNA is filed under the name Burkholderia pseudomallei NAU20B16. RNAcentral's name for it is "bacterial LSU rRNA". It matches the Rfam family "Bacterial large subunit ribosomal RNA", at positions 892 to 2831 of the family's 2925-position model. Lineage: Bacteria; Pseudomonadati; Pseudomonadota; Betaproteobacteria; Burkholderiales; Burkholderiaceae. The record is from RNAcentral.
ACCUUCGGGGGUAGAGCACUGUCAUGGUUGGGGGGUCUAUUGCAGAUUACCCCGCCAUAGCAAACUCCGAAUACCGAAGAGUGCAAUCACGGGAGACAGACAUCGGGUGCUAACGUCCGGUGUCAAGAGGGAAACAACCCAGACCGCCAGCUAAGGUCCCCAAAUAUGGCUAAGUGGGAAACGAAGUGGGAAGGCUAAAACAGUCAGGAGGUUGGCUUAGAAGCAGCCACCCUUUAAAGAAAGCGUAAUAGCUCACUGAUCGAGUCGUCCUGCGCGGAAGAUGUAACGGGGCUAAGCCAUAUACCGAAGCUGCGGAUGCGAGCUAGUCUCGCAUGGUAGGAGAGCGUUCCGUAAGCCUGCGAAGGUGCGUUGAAAAGCGUGCUGGAGGUAUCGGAAGUGCGAAUGCUGACAUGAGUAGCGAUAAAGGGGGUGAAAGGCCCCCUCGCCGUAAGCCCAAGGUUUCCUACGCAACGUUCAUCGGCGUAGGGUGAGUCGGCCCCUAAGGCGAGGCAGAAAUGCGUAGCUGAUGGGAAGCAGGUCAAUAUUCCUGCACCGUCGUUAGAUGCGAUGGGGGGACGGAUCGCGGAAGGUUGUCCGGGUGUUGGAAGUCCCGGUCGCUGCAUUGGAGAAGGCGCUUAGGCAAAUCCGGGCGCAGGAUUCAAGGGUGUGGCGCGAGCUCCUUCGGGAGCGAAGCAAUUGGAAGUGGUUCCAAGAAAAGCCUCUAAGCUUCAGUCUAACGAUGACCGUACCGCAAACCGACACAGGUGGGCGAGAUGAGUAUUCUAAGGCGCUUGAGAGAACUCGGGAGAAGGAACUCGGCAAAUUGGUACCGUAACUUCGGGAUAAGGUACGCCCUGGUAGCUUGACUGGCCUGCGCCAGAAGGGUGAAGGGGUUGCAAUAAACUGGUGGCUGCGACUGUUUAAUAAAAACACAGCACUCUGCAAACACGAAAGUGGACGUAUAGGGUGUGACGCCUGCCCGGUGCCGGAAGAUUAAAUGAUGGGGUGCAAGCUCUUGAUUGAAGUCCCGGUAAACGGCGGCCGUAACUAUAACGGUCCUAAGGUAGCGAAAUUCCUUGUCGGGUAAGUUCCGACCUGCACGAAUGGCGUAACGAUGGCCACACUGUCUCCUCCCGAGACUCAGCGAAGUUGAAGUGUUUGUGAUGAUGCAAUCUACCCGCGGCUAGACGGAAAGACCCCAUGAACCUUUACUGUAGCUUUGCAUUGGACUUUGAACCGAUCUGUGUAGGAUAGGUGGGAGGCUAUGAAACCGGAACGCUAGUUUCGGUGGAGCCGUCCUUGAAAUACCACCCUGGUUUGUUUGAGGUUCUAACCUUGGCCCGUGAUCCGGGUCGGGGACAGUGCAUGGUAGGCAGUUUGACUGGGGCGGUCUCCUCCCAAAGCGUAACGGAGGAGUACGAAGGUACGCUAGGUACGGUCGGAAAUCGUGCUGAUAGUGCAAUGGCAUAAGCGUGCUUAACUGCGAGACCGACAAGUCGAGCAGGUGCGAAAGCAGGUCAUAGUGAUCCGGUGGUUCUGUAUGGAAGGGCCAUCGCUCAACGGAUAAAAGGUACUCUGGGGAUAACAGGCUGAUACCGCCCAAGAGUUCAUAUCGACGGCGGUGUUUGGCACCUCGAUGUCGGCUCAUCUCAUCCUGGGGCUGUAGCCGGUCCCAAGGGUAUGGCUGUUCGCCAUUUAAAGAGGUACGUGAGCUGGGUUUAAAACGUCGUGAGACAGUUUGGUCCCUAUCUGCCGUGGGCGUUGGAAGUUUGAAGGGGGCUGCUCCUAGUACGAGAGGACCGGAGUGGACGAACCUCUGGUGUACCGGUUGUGACGCCAGUCGCAUCGCCGGGUAGCUAUGUUCGGAAGAGAUAACCGCUGAAAGCAUCUAAGCGGGAAACUCGCCUUAAGAUGAGACUUCCCCGGGGACUUGAUCCCCUUGA